This 70-nucleotide transfer RNA is filed under the name Iris polystictica. Its description in RNAcentral is "tRNA-Trp". The record is from RNAcentral. Lineage: Eukaryota; Metazoa; Arthropoda; Insecta; Mantodea; Eremiaphilidae.
AAGACUUUAAGUUAAAACAAAACUAAUAUCCUUCAAAGUUAUAAAUAAAGAAGAAUAUCUUUAAGUCUUA